RNAcentral lists this ribosomal RNA (445 nucleotides) under uncultured prokaryote. RNAcentral's name for it is "bacterial SSU rRNA". It matches the Rfam family "Bacterial small subunit ribosomal RNA", at positions 338 to 774 of the family's 1533-position model. The record is from RNAcentral.
CCUACGGGAUGCUGCAGUGAGGAAUUUUGCGCAAUGGGAGCAAUCCUGACGCAGCAACGCCGCGUGGGUGAUGAAGGCCUUCGGGUCGUAAAGCCCUGUCAGGUGGGAAGAAUGUCCCGGGACUGAACAGGUUCCGGGAGUGACGGUACCACCAGAGGAAGCACCGGCUAACUCCGUGCCAGCAGCCGCGGUAAUACGGAGGGUGCAAGCGUUAUUCGGAAUUACUGGGCGUAAAGCGCGUGUAGGCGGUCCCGCAAGUCUGAUGGGAAAGCCCCGGGCUUAACCCGGGAAGUGCAUUGGAAACUGGGGGACUUGAGUACCGGAGAGGAUGGGGGAAUUCCCGGUGUAGAGGUGAAAUUCGUAGAGAUCGGGAGGAAUAUCAGUGGCGAAGGCGCCCAUCUGGACGGUAACUGACGCUGAGACGCGAAAGCGUGGGGAGCAAACA